UACAGAGGUCUCAAGCGUUGUUCGGAUUCAUUGGGCGUAAAGGGCGCGUAGGCGGCGGGGUAAGUCGGGUGUGAAAUCUCAGAGCUCAACUCUGAAACUGCACUCGAUACUGCUCUGCUUGAGGACUGGAGAGGAGACUGGAAUUCACGGUGUAGCAGUGAAAUGCGUAGAUAUCGUAAGGAAGACCAGUGGCGAAGGCGAAUCUCUGGACAAUUACUGACGCUGAGGCACGAAGGCCAGGGGAGCAAACGGG
RNAcentral lists this ribosomal RNA (253 nucleotides) under uncultured bacterium. RNAcentral's name for it is "partial 16S ribosomal RNA". It matches the Rfam family "Bacterial small subunit ribosomal RNA", at positions 524 to 776 of the family's 1533-position model. The record is from RNAcentral.